This 3617-nucleotide long non-coding RNA is filed under the name Panax ginseng (ginseng). RNAcentral describes it as "long non-coding RNA (PGIN_LNC015948)". Lineage: Eukaryota; Viridiplantae; Streptophyta; Magnoliopsida; Apiales; Araliaceae. The record is from RNAcentral.
UUGUCUAUGAAGAAAAACACGGAGCUAAAAAAAAGAAGCUGAACUCAAUUCGUUUCAGUCUCUUCUCUUCUCUCUUACUCCCUACCGAUCUGUCCCAAUCUCGUCGAUUCUGUCCAUCCUCUUUCGCCAGCCCUACGCCGUCUCAACAAAAAUGAACAACAUCUGGACGACGACGUCUCUAAACCAGAGGUCCGUCUUCUCUCUUCGACUUCCCCCGCUUCUUCCAUGGCUGAAACCCUCCAAAAUCCUAACCCUAACAUCUCCGCCUAUUACCAGACUAGGGCCGCUCACCACGCGUCAUCACCAGCGACUGGCUUGCCCAGGCCCAGGUGGCCGUCGGCAAUAAAACUAAUGAAGGCAGAGAGAGCGGGACUAAGAGAUAUUGGACCAAAAGACAGAUAGAGCUAGAGAACGACAGAGAGAGAGAGAGUGAGCGACGAGCGAUCGAUUGCAUCAGGCAGCCAUUCUAGGGUUUUCUUCAACAAAUCUCUGGCUUAAAUCUUCGUUGGUGCAAAGGUAUGUAUGAUUAUUAAGGGUAUUUGUGCGAUUGAUUGUGAUGGGUACGUUUGUUUGUUUAAUUCUAGGUUUUGAAAUUCCACAACUCUCUCUCUCGUUCUCCCUCCCUCUGUCUCUGGUAUUUUGGAUUUGGGGAUUUUCACAAGCAGUUAGUAUGUUUCUCUCUUGUUAGUGAUGGAGUUCAGUUCCAAGUUUAAGGUGUUGAUUUCUCAAGAUGAUUUCCCUCAAUGGUUGACUGGUUGAGUUUGUGUUUUGUAAACUUCUCAUUUUAGUAUGAUAGUGUUAAAUUUUAUCCUAAUUAGAAAUCAUAUGUACCAUUGUAGUUCGCUAGCGGGGCAAAGGUAAUUUUUAAGUUUGCAUAUGAACCGAGGUAUGUUUAAUUUGGUUUUCCUGUGAGCUUGAAUUCCUACUUUAGUAGUUUUAUAAGGCUUCCAUUAGUUAUGGUAGCAUCUUAUAAUACUCUUUGGUGAAUUGCAGGCAUGGAAAAUGAAGGGAUGAGUAAGUCUUAGGAGUUUGUACCAGGCAAGGAUAGUAAUAGUUAUUAGCUUGUCUCCAAUGUCAGUGUGAGGUAACUUCAGUUCAAGCAAAGAUAAUGUUGAUUGUUUGACUGAGAUGAUACACACCCGAAUAAAGAAAAUCAAUGGUGACAUUUCUGAGAUUACCCCUAUUGGAACUAAGCAGAGGACUGCUAAGAUCUGAAUUUAAUCUCAUAGUUCUGCUUAAAAUGUAGUCUUUGAAAGGCUUUGGUGGAGCAUAACUUAUUAUCAAAUAAAAAAAUAGUAGUGGGCAUAAUGUGUCAUGAUCCAUAAAGUAGUGAUCAUCUCCUUGUAAACUGCAAUACACUUUGUUAUAUUGAUACCUGCUCCUCACGUUGAUGUGCCCUUUUAAUGUUUGAAUAUUGCCAAUUUGUCCAUCAAGUAUCUUGCCGUUGUAUACAGAUAACUUCCCCUAGUAAUUCACAUCCUUGUUGCUGCUUCUGAAGGGUUGUGUGCUUCUGUUAGUUGGUUGCAUAUAUUUGGGUUCAUUAGAUGAAGGAUUGCUUUUAAGAUUAACAUUUCAUACAUCACAUAAACACUGUUCAGCUAAUUAGACCUGUCUUGCCUCUCUGUUAUAGCGUUAUCGAUACAUUGAGGCAUAUACAAGUAUACAUAUAAUAAGAUCUGGAGGGACAGAUUUUACAUGAUGGGUUUAUCUAACAAAGAUAUAGUAGCACUAUCAGGAGGACACACACUGGUAAGUUGCAUCUACAAAAUUGUUUUUUGACUCAUACUCUUGUAUAUUUUGCUCCUGGGACAAACUCAAAGCUCUUUUACUCUGAAAUCAUAUUCAUGCAGUUAGCCACUCUUUUGGUGUUUUGUGUGAUAGGGGCCGAGGGGGACGAGGAACUGGGCCAGGCACAGUUUUGCACAAGUGUUACAGCCAAUUCUUCAAGAACUCGCAGAAACUUUGGCUGAAAAGCAUGUUAUCAUUAUCCAAAACAUCAAGAUAAUACACGGAUCUAAGCUAAAAAAAGGUAAUUAAUGGUUGCUGUUUUCCCUUUUCAGGAAAGCCCUUGGGGUUUCAUUAGUAAAAUGUUCUUUAGUUUCUUCUAGCUAUAUAUGUUAAAUUACCUUCAUUGGGUUUUUUGUAUUGGUUCAUCCCGCUCGGUCAAUCUUGAGUUUUCAUUACUAGAAUUCAAGAAUACUUUUGCUGCUAGGGUGAUUUAGAUAUGCAAAACAUGGGGGUUCUCUUAGAAAUUAUGGAAGCUUUUGAUAUGCUGACUGCGAUGAGGUCAAGAGGUUUUACUUUUCUAAUUCAUAUACAUUAAUUUAAUUUUCUAAUUCCUCUGCUCUAGAUUUGUUACCUAUACGUUCCCUGAAUUUCUUUCAUCUUAAAAAUGCUUGUAUGUGUUUGUCUAUACUAUAUUCAACAUAGAGAUUAAGUUUGUGAUAGUUUUGUCUAUUACCAGCGACUAACAGUCUUAAGAAGUAAUGUCAUACAUAUAGAUGCUAGAUAGGUGGACCUUGAGCAAAAGUUUGUAACCAAAAUCAAAACAGUUAUCAAGGGGACUUGCAUUUCCUUCUGAACAGUGUCUGUCCUGCAAGAUUCUGGCAUUGCUUUGUUUGAUACAAUUAUAGACUAAUAGUAAAAACUUAAAACUAAAACUACAACUGCAGAAGAUUUGAAGGUUGUACAUCAUUUUAGUCUAAGUACAGUCUAUACUUCUUCAGCUACUCCUUUGCCUGUAUUUUGCUAUAAUAAGCCAAAAAAUUAAAGAAUUAUACAAAAAAUUUGCGGCUGCAUGACGAUUACUUUUGUACUUUUAGUGGGAUUACUUUGGAAACUUGUAUAACAGUAUGGCUAUUUUCCUGGUGUAAAGGUAAUACAUUAAUUCUUUUCCAUAUUAAAAGCAUAACAGUAUGGCUAUUUUUUUGGUAUAACAGUAUGGCUUAGUGCAGUGCAAUGAGUGCUCAUAAUGGAUUUGUUACAGCAAACGAUGAGAAAAUCUCAAAAUGGGUUUGUUACAGCAAACGAUGAGAAAAUGUCAAAAUCACUGAAGAACUUCUUCACCAUUCGCGAGGUAAACCGACAAAUUGUCUAAUUGUUUUUUCACAUAAUUGUUGUUUUUCACAUAAUUGUUGAAGCAUUGUCUGCAAUCAUGCCUUUUAGAACCUUGUCCAGCUAGUUUAUCUGACAUUCCUAAAUUAGAACCUUGGUAAAAUUCCUAAAUUAGAACCUUGUGGCUCUUGCGUGAUUGAGACUGGUAAAAUUCUUUCAGGAGAAUGCAGCUGCAGCAGCAGAGAAGGCUUGGCUUAUUGAUUUUAACAACAUAAAAGUUGCAAUGUUGCUGAAUAAUGUGAAGUUGAUAUCUCGAGCCCGUUCCCAGGGUAAAGAUCUAUUCAAUAUAGUAGUAAAUAUAUUGAAAAGUGAAUUUGAGAUGUAUGGAUAGUUUGGCAUUAUUGAGAUGUAAACGUAUUGUAUGGUAUUAAUAUUCUUUGUAAUUGGAAUUAAAAAGAAUUAUUGGGAUGUAAACGUAUUGUAUGGUAUUAAUAUUCUUUAUAAUUUUAGCUAUAUAUCAGGCAUUAGCAUAUAUUGCAGGUGCAUUGGUAAUAUAGGUGAAC